This 74-nucleotide transfer RNA is filed under the name Lysobacteraceae bacterium. Its description in RNAcentral is "tRNA-Cys(gca)". It matches the Rfam family "tRNA". Rfam says of the family: Transfer RNA (tRNA) molecules are approximately 80 nucleotides in length. Their secondary structure includes four short double-helical elements and three loops (D, anti-codon, and T loops). Further hydrogen bonds mediate the characteristic L-shaped molecular structure. tRNAs have two regions of fundamental functional importance: the anti-codon, which is responsible for specific mRNA codon recognition, and the 3' end, to which the tRNAs corresponding amino acid is attached (by aminoacyl-tRNA synthetases). tRNAs cope with the degeneracy of the genetic code in two manners: having more than one tRNA (with a specific anti-codon) for a particular amino acid; and 'wobble' base-pairing, i.e. permitting non-standard base-pairing at the 3rd anti-codon position. RNAcentral also lists the same sequence under 7 other names. The record is from RNAcentral. Lineage: Bacteria; Pseudomonadati; Pseudomonadota; Gammaproteobacteria; Lysobacterales; Lysobacteraceae.
GGCUGGAUGGCAGAGUGGUUAUGCAGCGGAUUGCAAAUCCGUGUACGCCGGUUCGAUUCCGACUCCGGCCUCCA